UACGUAGGGUGCGAGCGUUGUCCGGAAUUAUUGGGCGUAAAGAGCUCGUAGGCGGUUUGUCGCGUCGGGAGUGAAAACACGGGGCUUAACCCCGUGCCUGCUUCCGAUACGGGCAGACUAGAGGUAUGCAGGGGAGAACGGAAUUCCUGGUGUAGCGGUGAAAUGCGCAGAUAUCAGGAGGAACACCGGUGGCGAAGGCGGUUCUCUGGGCAUUACCUGACGCUGAGGAGCGAAAGUGUGGGGAGCGAACAGG
RNAcentral lists this ribosomal RNA (253 nucleotides) under uncultured bacterium. RNAcentral describes it as "partial 16S ribosomal RNA". It matches the Rfam family "Bacterial small subunit ribosomal RNA", at positions 524 to 776 of the family's 1533-position model. The record is from RNAcentral.